GACGAACGCUGGCGGCGUGCUUAACACAUGCAAGUCGUACGGUAAGGCCCUUUCGGGGGUACACGAGUGGCGAACGGGUGAGUAACACGUGAGUAACCUGCCCACAACUUUGGGAUAACGCUAGGAAACUGGUGCUAAUACUGGAUAUGUGCUCCUGCUGCAUGGUGGGGGUUGGAAAGCUCCGGCGGUUGUGGAUGGACUCGCGGCCUAUCAGCUUGUUGGUGGGGUAGUGGCCUACCAAGGCGGCGACGGGUAGCCGGCCUGAGAGGGUGACCGGCCACAUUGGGACUGAGAGACGGCCCAGACUCCGACGGGAGGCAGCAGUGGGGAAUAUUGCACAAUGGGCGCAAGCCUGAUGCAGCAACGCCGCGUGCGGGAUGACGGCCUUCGGGUUGUAAACCGCUUUCAGCAGGGACGAAGCUUUUUGUGACGGUACCUGCAGAAGAAGCACCGGCUAACUACGUG
This 465-nucleotide ribosomal RNA is filed under the name uncultured bacterium. RNAcentral describes it as "partial 16S ribosomal RNA". It matches the Rfam family "Bacterial small subunit ribosomal RNA", at positions 28 to 507 of the family's 1533-position model. The record is from RNAcentral.